This 248-nucleotide small RNA is filed under the name Caenorhabditis elegans. RNAcentral's name for it is "Unclassified non-coding RNA T08B2.16". The record is from RNAcentral. Lineage: Eukaryota; Metazoa; Nematoda; Chromadorea; Rhabditida; Rhabditidae.
GUUAACGAUGAAGCCACCAAGUUGCUUCAAAAGUACAAGUUGACACCAAACGCAUCUGUGUAAGUUUCAAUCCAUUUGCAAAAGUUUCUACCGUUGAUGUUUAUGAUUAUCUAACUCUACAAAGAGGCUUUGAUAAUAUUAGAAUAUUUACAUUUCACUUUUAUGAUUUAUAGCUCAUCACCAGAAGACCGUCAAAUCCGUCUUGUCUCUCGUUUCGUCAAUGAGGCGCUUCUAUGUCUUGAAGAAGG